ACGGGAGGCAGCAGUGGGGAACAUUGCACAAUGGGGGAAACCCUGAUGCAGCGACGCCGCGUGAGUGAAGAAGUUAUUCGUAAUGUAAAGCUCUAUCAGCAGGGAAGAAAAUGACGGUACCUGACUAAGAAGCCCCGGCUAACUACGUGCCAGCAGCCGCGGUAAUACGUAGGGGGCAAGCGUUAUCCGGAUUUACUGGGUGUAGAGGGAGCGUAGACGGCUUUGUAAGUCUGAUGUGAAAGGCAGGGGCUCAACUCCUGGACUGCAUUGGAAACUACAGAGCUUGAGUGCCAGAGAGGUAAGCGGAAUUCCUAGUGUAGCGGUGAAAUGCGUAGAUAUUAGGAGGAACACCAGUGGCGAAGGCGGCUUACUGGACGGUAACUGACGUUGAGGCUCGAAAGCGUGGGGAGCAAACAGGAUUAGAUACCCUGGUA
This 434-nucleotide ribosomal RNA is filed under the name uncultured Lachnospiraceae bacterium. RNAcentral's name for it is "partial 16S ribosomal RNA". It matches the Rfam family "Bacterial small subunit ribosomal RNA", at positions 341 to 792 of the family's 1533-position model. Lineage: Bacteria; Bacillati; Bacillota; Clostridia; Lachnospirales; Lachnospiraceae. The record is from RNAcentral.